This 77-nucleotide transfer RNA is filed under the name Actinomycetota bacterium. RNAcentral describes it as "Actinobacteria bacterium tRNA-Leu". It matches the Rfam family "tRNA". From Rfam's summary of the family: Transfer RNA (tRNA) molecules are approximately 80 nucleotides in length. Their secondary structure includes four short double-helical elements and three loops (D, anti-codon, and T loops). Lineage: Bacteria; Bacillati; Actinomycetota. The record is from RNAcentral.
GCCCCCGUAGCCCAAAAGGCAGAGGCCGGCCCCUUAAAAGGGCUUCAGUGUCGGUUCGAACCCGACCGGGGGCACCA